This is a long non-coding RNA of Poecilia latipinna (sailfin molly), 1297 nucleotides long. RefSeq lists it as uncharacterized. The transcript is spliced from 2 exons. The record is from RefSeq and is a predicted model, not a curated record. NCBI's taxonomy places the organism in Eukaryota, Metazoa, Chordata, Actinopteri, Cyprinodontiformes, Poeciliidae.
UAUAUCUUUAAUUAAUUUAAUAAUACAUGGAAUCUACAUUUUCUUUAUUUUAAAAUAGCAAAUGAAGUUUGCGUAUUCAGUACAUUUUAUGACAAUAGAGUGGGGUAAAAGUUGACUAUAAAAGGUUGAGUAAAUCUGUUCCAGGCAGUGGAUAGAGACAUUUUUGGACUAAUGAUAAUGAAAUUUAAAACAAAUUAUUCAUGUUUUAAAUACAAUACUGAUCCUUUCUUCAACUAACUGCCCUUUGUUUAAGAACGUUUACAAAGGAGUUCUUCAAUUUCAUACUUAAAUAAUCAUUAAUAUGAGACACACUUUGGGCAAUAUUUGAUAAGCAAUUCUACUUAAAGCUCCAUGCAUUACAGUGUGGCUAGAUGAAAUCUGCCCCUGAUGCUGAUGCAUAAUAAAUCUGAAAGUGGUCAGGAUGUUUAAGCGCACAGAAUGAUUUAGUAUCGCAAUGAUAGAGAAAUGAAGAGCAAGGAAAAAUAUCACAAUAUAUUCAACAACAAUAUCACAUUUUCAAGAUUUUCUGAUAUCAUGCAACCCUAAAGUAACAAACUGCAUUUAAUAAAAUUAGGGUAUGAUGUGCUGAAUCAAUGGUUCAAAGCCAAACAACAAAAAUGUUUUUACAUUUUCAUCAUGGAGAUUAAGUGCCAUGCCCAAAUAUCAGUAUAGAUCAUUUUAAAUUAUUCAUAUCCUAGUUUCCUAAUCCCUUUCUGAUCCACACUGUUGAUACACGUCAGCCACAUUCAGUGUUACCAAGUGAGUCAUGCGAUCAUGCUUCGCAAGGUCAAUUUUGAAAACUCAGCUCAUUUGUAUGUGCACAGCUUGCAGAAAUGCAUUUAGGAAGUGCACAUUAUUGUGCAAAUGUUUUAAAGCCUCGACAAUGACAUUCACCGUGAAAGAGAGACUGCGCUGGCUGUUUCAGCUUCAAAAUGUAAAAUGACCUGCAAUCCCUGCUGUGGAACCUCACUGCAACCUUCUGAGGAAAAUCAUCAACCGUUAUCGUCAAACGGAAGAAUAAAAGCGCCAGAAUUAUCCGUGAACUUCAGCUCAAUGCUCCGAACAAAAACAGGAGCAAACACCAGUUUAAACCCAGACUGGCCUGAUAAUGGAGAGCAAAAACAUGGCAAUGUACAGCAGCUUUCUCCCGCACCGAUGAUUCAACCUGGAGGUUUGUGUUAAAAGCAGCGAGUGGGUUCAGGUAAUUAUUUUUCUUUGUAUCUUCUCGCAUUUAAUUCGAUCUUUGAGCAGAUAAAAGCUCUGUGGGUCAAUUUCCUUCAAAAAAUAAAUAAAAAAA